CCUCGGCGGAUCAGCCCGCUCCCGGUAAAACGGGACGGCCCGCCAGAGGACCCCUAAACUCUGUUUCUAUAUGUAACUUCUGAGUAAAACCAUAAAUAAAUCAAAACUUUCAACAACGGAUCUCUUGGUUCUGGCAUCGAUGAAGAACGCAGCAAAAUGCGAUAAGUAAUGUGAAUUGCAGAAUUCAGUGAAUCAUCGAAUCUUUGAACGCACAUUGCGCCCGCCAGUAUUCUGGCGGGCAUGCCUGUUCGAGCGUCAUUUCAACCCUCAAGCACAGCUUGGUGUUGGGACUCGCGUUAAUUCGCGUUCCUCAAAUUGAUUGGCGGUCACGUCGAGCUUCCAUAGCGUAGUAGUAAAACCCUCGUUACUGGUAAUCGUCGCGGCCACGCCGUUAAACCCCAACUUCUGAAUGUUGACCUCGGAUCAGGUAGGAAUACCCGCUGAACUUAAGCAUAUCAAUAAGCGGAGG
RNAcentral lists this ribosomal RNA (469 nucleotides) under uncultured fungus. Its description in RNAcentral is "eukaryotic LSU rRNA". The stretch from base 105 to 258 matches the Rfam family "5.8S ribosomal RNA". The record is from RNAcentral. Lineage: Eukaryota; Fungi.